GAUGAACGCUGGCGGCGUGCCUAAUACAUGCAAGUCGAACGCUGGAACUCUAGCUUGCUAGAUUGAAGGAGUGGCGAACGGGUGAGUAAUACAUAAGCAACCUACCCACGAAGACUGGGAUAAUCUCUGGAAACGGGGACUAAUACCGGAUAGGUAAUCGGAAGGCAUCUUCUGAUUAUUAAAGGUUAAAAACACUGGUGGAUGGGCUUAUGGCGCAUUAGUUAGUUGGUGAGGUAACGGCCCACCAAGACGAUGAUGCGUAGCCGGCCUGAGGGGGUGAACGGCCACAUUGGGACUGAGACACGGCCCAGACUCCUACGGGAGGCAGCAGUAGGGAAUUUUCAGCAAUGGGGGAAACCCUGACCGAGCAACGCCGCGUGAGUGAUGACGGCCUUCGGGUUGUAAAGCUCUGUUGUAAGGGAAGAACGGUAGAUAGAGAAUAUCUAAAUGACGGUACCUUACCAGAAAGCCACGGCUAACUACGUG
RNAcentral lists this ribosomal RNA (486 nucleotides) under uncultured bacterium. RNAcentral describes it as "partial 16S ribosomal RNA". It matches the Rfam family "Bacterial small subunit ribosomal RNA", at positions 28 to 507 of the family's 1533-position model. The record is from RNAcentral.